AGAGUUUGAUUAUGGCUCAGGAUGAACGCUAGCGACAGGCUUAACACAUGCAAGUCGAGGGGCAGCGGGGCGGCAGGCUUGCCUGCCGUUGCCGGCGACCGGCGCACGGGUGAGUAACACGUAUGCAACCUGCCCGUGGCAGGGGGAUAAGCGGGGGAAACCCCGUCUAAUACCGCGUAACGCGGCCUAGGGACAUCCCAAGGCCGCCAAAGGGAGCAAUCCCGGCCACGGAUGGGCAUGCGGCGCAUUAGCUAGUCGGCGGGGUAACGGCCCACCGAGGCGACGAUGCGUAGGGGUUCUGAGAGGAAGGCCCCCCACACUGGUACUGAGACACGGACCAGACUCCUACGGGAGGCAGCAGUGAGGAAUAUUGGUCAAUGGGCGCGAGCCUGAACCAGCCAAGUCGCGUGAGGGAGGACGGCCCUACGGGUUGUAAACCUCUUUUGCCGGGGAGCAACGGGCGCCACGUGUGGCGCCACUGAGAGUACCCGGAGAAAAAGCAUCGGCUAA
This 510-nucleotide ribosomal RNA is filed under the name uncultured bacterium. Its description in RNAcentral is "bacterial SSU rRNA". It matches the Rfam family "Bacterial small subunit ribosomal RNA", at positions 8 to 500 of the family's 1533-position model. The record is from RNAcentral.